This 443-nucleotide ribosomal RNA is filed under the name uncultured Comamonadaceae bacterium. RNAcentral's name for it is "bacterial SSU rRNA". It matches the Rfam family "Bacterial small subunit ribosomal RNA", at positions 933 to 1382 of the family's 1533-position model. The record is from RNAcentral. Lineage: Bacteria; Pseudomonadati; Pseudomonadota; Betaproteobacteria; Burkholderiales; Comamonadaceae.
UGGAUGAUGUGGAUAAUUCGAUGCAACGCGAAGAACUUACCUACCCUUGACAUGUCCGGAACUUGCCAGAGAUGGCUUGGUGCCCGAAAGGGAAUCGGAACACAGGUGCUGCAUGGCUGUCGUCAGCUCGUGUCGUGAGAUGUUGGGUUAAGUCCCGCAACGAGCGCAACCCUUAUCAUUAGUUGCUACGCAAGGGCACUCUAAUGAGACUGCCGGUGACAAACCGGAGGAAGGUGGGGAUGACGUCAAGUCCUCAUGGCCCUUAUAGGUGGGGCUACACACGUCAUACAAUGGCUGGCACAAAGGGUUGCCAACCCGCGAGGGGGAGCCAAUCCCAUAAAGCCAGUCGUAGUCCGGAUCGCAGUCUGCAACUCGACUGCGUGAAGUCGGAAUCGCUAGUAAUCGUGGAUCAGCAUGUCACGGUGAAUACGUUCCCGGGUCUU